UAUCCAACAGCCGCCUUUCACAUGCCGGCUAAUAACGCUAAAAGACACAGCGUUUCAGCCGUUACACCUACUUAACGUUACCUGGAGUGGAUUGGCUUCCUCAGAUCUUGGACACGAUGCUUUAAUUAUUUUUCUGGUGCAAGUCGGUGUCAUAAAAAGCGCUAUCUGUAAUUGUUUCGACGGUAUAGACACUUCUCCUUUUUCCUCUCUUCUUCUUCUUGUGA
Molecule: long non-coding RNA, 224 nt
Organism: Etheostoma cragini (Arkansas darter)
Lineage: Eukaryota; Metazoa; Chordata; Actinopteri; Perciformes; Percidae
Exons: 3
Source: RefSeq, a predicted model, not a curated record